Molecule: long non-coding RNA, 878 nt
Organism: Candoia aspera
Lineage: Eukaryota; Metazoa; Chordata; Lepidosauria; Squamata; Candoiidae
Exons: 4
Source: RefSeq, a predicted model, not a curated record
GUUAUUUAAUCAUUUGUUGCAUAAGCCAUGACUGCCUAGUUACAUAUGUAACAUCAAGCUGCAAACCACUAUUUACAAAUCACAGCAGCUGAAUUCACACAUCAAACCAAGGCAGAAUCAAACUAUCCACAAUAUUGCAUACUACAAGGUGUGCGUGAAGCAGUCACAGGCUUUCUUUCUCAGGAGUAAGGAGGGCCUGGCCAAGGAUGGCUGCCAGCCUGCUUGCAUAUUCUAUUUCUCUGAGGGGCCUCCCCCUUUGGGCACUGCGCAAGAGAACCGGCUCUGUUUAGUCACCUUGCCCUUUCUGGGUGGCUUGGUGGGUAAGAGUGGGUUUGAUGGGGCUAAUUCCCAGGUCUCGCUGUCCAGGGGAAGAGUCCAGGUGGGCAACGGAAGGGGUCACCAACACAUCUUCCUCAAGAUAAAGAUCAGGAAGGACCAGCCACACACAGCAAAGAUAAACUGUGGGACUACUGUUACCAAAGGUCUGGAGGAUACAGAUUAUCUCAAUCUCCAGUCUGGAUUCAGGGCCAAGCACAGGACAGAAGCCACAUUGCUCACUCUCAUAAUUUCCGCAGGCCUUCUCAUUCCCCAGGAUGAGAUUUCCAACUGAAGAAUUACAGCAUAUUCUACUUCUGAUCACCAUUUCAUUGCUUCAAACAGAAUUGGAGGAAAGGAUGAAAGAAAAAUAUAAAAAGAUGGGAGAAAAUGUACCCCUGAUGCCAAAGAAAAUCUAAAAUGAAAGCAGAAGUCUCUAUGAACAUCAUUUAUUUUAUUGUACUAACUUCAGGGAGAAAGAAGAUAAAACUUUUCCAAAGCAAAAUAAGUAAAAUACCGAAAAUGUUGAAAGCAACUAUUAAAUGUUAAUUCUCAUUGUCAUA